Molecule: ribosomal RNA, 2896 nt
Filed under: Clostridioides difficile
Lineage: Bacteria; Bacillati; Bacillota; Clostridia; Peptostreptococcales; Peptostreptococcaceae
Description: bacterial LSU rRNA
Rfam family: Bacterial large subunit ribosomal RNA
Source: RNAcentral
UCAAGUUAUUAAGGGUGCAGGGCGGAUGCCUUGGCACUAGGAGCCGAUGAAGGACGUGAUAAGCUGCGAUAAGCUUCGGGGAGUUGCACGUAAACUUUGAUCCGAAGAUUUCCGAAUGAGGAAACUCACUUAGAGUAAUGUCUAAGUAUCAUUAAGUGAAUAUAUAGCUUAAUGAGGGGAACUCAGGGAACUGAAACAUCUAAGUACCUGAAGGAAGAGAAAGAAAUUCGAUUCCGUAAGUAGCGGCGAGCGAACGCGGAUUAGCCCAAACCAAUAAAGUUUUCUUUAUUGGGGUUGCGGACAUAUCAUAACGAAGAGGUAUCGUAAUUGAAGAGGUUUGGAAAGACCCACCACAGAAGGUAAUAGUCCUGUAUGUUAAACGAGAAGACUUUAGAUAUGAUCCAGAGUACCACGGGACACGUGAAACCCUGUGGGAAGCAGGAGGGACCACCCUCCAAGGCUAAAUACUACCUAGUGACCGAUAGCGUAUAGUACCGUGAGGGAAAGGUGAAAAGAACCCCGGGAGGGGAGUGAAAUAGAACCUGAAACCCUGCACUUACAAGCUGUGGAAGCACAUUUCUUGUGUGACCGCGUACUUUUUGUAGAACGGGCCAACGAGUUACGUUAAGUAGCAAGGUUAAGCACUUAAGGUGUGGAGCCGUAGCGAAAGCGAGUUUUAACUGAGCGUUCAGUUACUUGACGUAGACCCGAAACCGGGCGACCUACCCAUGAGCAGGAUGAAGCGAAAGUAAAAUUUCGUGGAGGUCCGAACCCACGAGCGUUGAAAAGCUCGGGGAUGACUUGUGGGUAGCGGUGAAAUUCCAAUCGAGCCCGGAGAUAGCUGGUUCUCCCCGAAAUAGCUUUAGGGCUAGCCUCAAGGUGAGAGAUACGGAGGUAGAGCACUGAAUGUCCUAGGGGGUAUUGCACCUACCGAAGACUAUCAAACUCCGAAUGCCGUCAUCUUAUACUUGGGAGUCAGACUGUGGGUGAUAAGAUUCAUAGUCGAAAGGGCAACAGCCCAGAUCGUCAGCUAAGGUCCCUAAAUGUAAGUUAAGUGGUAAAGGAUGUGGGAUUGCACAGACAACCAGGAUGUUGGCUUAGAAGCAGCCACUCAUUCAAAGAGUGCGUAAUAGCUCACUGGUCGAGUGAUCCUGCGCCGAAGAUUUCCGGGGCUAAAACUUACUACCGAAGCUACGGCAUCAGUAAUGAUGGGUAGGGGAGCUUCCCAUACGGGUUGAAGCAUGACCGUAAGGACAUGUGGACAGUAUGGGAGUGAGAAUGUUGGCAUGAGUAGCGAGAUGUGGGUGAGAAUCCCACAGGCCGUAAACCCAAGGUUUCCAGGGGAAGGUUCGUCCGCCCUGGGUUAGUCGGGACCUAAGCUGAGGCCGAAAGGCGUAGGUGAUGGACAACAGGUUGAUAUUCCUGUACUACCGAUAACCGUUUGAGAGAAGGGAUGACACAGUAGGAUAAGCUAAGCACACUGUUGGUUAUGUGUGCCCAAGCAUUGAGGCAGUCAAAGUAGGCAAAUCCGCUUUGAUAAUGCUGGGAUGUGAUGGGGAGCGAAAUUUAGUAGCGAAGUAGCUGAUUUCACACUGUCAAGAAAAGUCUCUAUCGAGGUUAAAGGUACCCGUACCGCAAACCGACACAGGUGGGUGAGGAGAGUAUCCUAAGGCCAGCGAGAGAACUGUUGUUAAGGAACUCGGCAAAAUGACCCCGUAACUUAGGGAUAAGGGGUGCCACCAUCAGGUGGCCGCAGAGAAUAGGCCCAAGCGACUGUUUACCAAAAACAUAGGUUUCUGCUAAGUCGCAAGACGAUGUAUAGGAGCUGACGCCUGCCCGGUGCUGGAAGGUUAAGGGAAUCUGUUAGAGCAAUCGAAGCAGUGAACUUAAGCCCCAGUAAACGGCGGCCGUAACUAUAACGGUCCUAAGGUAGCGAAAUUCCUUGUCGGGUAAGUUCCGACCCGCACGAAAGGCGUAACGAUUUGGGCACUGUCUCAACAACAGACUCGGUGAAAUUGUAAUUCCGGUGAAGAUGCCGGAUACCUGCGACAGGACGGAAAGACCCCAUGGAGCUUUACUGUAGCUUGACAUUGGGUCUUGGUACUACAUGUACAGGAUAGGUGGGAGGCUUUGAAACCAGGACGCCAGUUUUGGCGGAGCCAUCCUUGGGAUACCACCCUUGUAGUACUGGGACUCUAACCAUAGGCCAUGAAUCUGGUCUUGGGACACUGUCAGGUGGGCAGUUUGACUGGGGCGGUCGCCUCCCAAAAGGUAACGGAGGCGCUCAAAGGUUCUCUCAGUACGGUCGGAAAUCGUACGUAGAGUGUAAAGGCAAAAGAGAGCUUGAUUGCAAGACAUACAGGUCGAGCAAGGAUGAAAAUCGGACUUAGUGAUCCGGUGGUUCUGCGUGGAAGGGCCAUCGCUCAACGGAUAAAAGCUACCCUGGGGAUAACAGGCUUAUCUCCCCCAAGAGUCCACAUCGACGGGGAGGUUUGGCACCUCGAUGUCGGCUCAUCACAUCCUGGGGCUGUAGUAGGUCCCAAGGGUUGGGCUGUUCGCCCAUUAAAGUGGUACGCGAGCUGGGUUCAGAACGUCGUGAGACAGUUCGGUCCCUAUCCGUCGCAGGCGUAGGAAAUUUGAGAAGACCUGUCCUUAGUACGAGAGGACCGGGAUGGACGUACCUCUGGUGUACCAGUUGUCCUGCCAAGGGCAUGGCUGGGUAGCUAUGUACGGAAUGGAUAAGCGCUGAAAGCAUCUAAGCGCGAAGCCAACUUCAAGAUAAGAUUUCCCACCGCAAGGGUAAGACCCCAGAAAGACUAUCUGGUUGAUAGGUCGAAGGUGUAAGUGCAGCAAUGUAUUUAGCUUAUCGAUACUAAUAGGUCGAGGACUUGACCAA